GACGAACGCUGGCGGCGUGCUUAACGCAUGCAAGUCGUACGGUAAGGCCCUUUCGGGGGUACACGAGUGGCGCACGGGUGAGUAACACGUGAGUAACCUGCCCACAACUUUGGGAUAACGCUAGGAAACUGGUGCUAAUACUGGAUAUGUGCUCCUGCUGCAUGGUGGGGGUUGGAAAGCUCCGGCGGUUGUGGAUGGACUCGCGGCCUAUCAGCUUGUUGGUGGGGUAGUGGCCUACCAAGGCGGCGACGGGUAGCCGGCCUGAGAGGGUGACCGGCCACAUUGGGACUGAGAUACGGCCCAGACUCCUACGGGAGGCAGCAGUGGGGAAUAUUGCACAAUGGGCGCAAGCCUGAUGCAGCAACGCCGCGUGCGGGAUGACGGCCUUCGGGUUGUAAACCGCUUUCAGCAGGGACGAAGCUUUUUGUGACGGUACCUGCAGAAGAAGCACCGGCUAACUACGUG
This 465-nucleotide ribosomal RNA is filed under the name uncultured bacterium. RNAcentral's name for it is "partial 16S ribosomal RNA". It matches the Rfam family "Bacterial small subunit ribosomal RNA", at positions 28 to 507 of the family's 1533-position model. The record is from RNAcentral.